Molecule: ribosomal RNA, 600 nt
Filed under: Sus scrofa (pig)
Lineage: Eukaryota; Metazoa; Chordata; Mammalia; Artiodactyla; Suidae
Description: partial large subunit ribosomal RNA
Rfam family: Bacterial large subunit ribosomal RNA
Source: RNAcentral
CCGCCUGUUUACCAAAAACAUCACCUCUAGCAUUACUAGUAUUAGAGGCAAUGCCUGCCCAGUGACACCAGUUUAACGGCCGCGGUAUUCUGACCGUGCAAAGGUAGCAUAAUCACUUGUUCUCCAAAUAAGGACUUGUAUGAAUGGCCACACGAGGGUUUUACUGUCUCUUACUUCCAAUCAGUGAAAUUGACCUUCCCGUGAAGAGGCGGGAAUAAAAAAAUAAGACGAGAAGACCCUAUGGAGCUUUAAUUAACUAUUCCAAAAGUUAAACAAUUCAACCACAAAGGGAUAAAACAUAACUUAACAUGGACUAGCAAUUUCGGUUGGGGUGACCUCGGAGUACAAAAAACCCUCCGAGUGAUUUUAAUCUAGACAAACCAGUCAAAAUAACCAUAACAUCACUUAUUGAUCCAAAACUUUGAUCAACGGAACAAGUUACCCUAGGGAUAACAGCGCAAUCCUAUUCUAGAGUUCCUAUCGACAAUAGGGUUUACGACCUCGAUGUUGGAUCAGGACACCCAAAUGGUGCAACCGCUAUUAAAGGUUCGUUUGUUCAACGAUUAAAGUCCUACGUGAUCUGAGUUCAAACCGGAGCAA